UUUCUCUGAUGGGCGAGGACACACCUGAUUGGUAGUGUUGCUCUUAUAUCAGCCAGGGGCAAAGCAGUUGUACAGUCCUUAGUUCAUCUUAGCUUAUUGCCUGCUUUGGUGGCCAGAGCUGGUUCAUGCCUGGGGCACAUAA
Molecule: small nucleolar RNA, 142 nt
Organism: Artibeus jamaicensis (Jamaican fruit-eating bat)
Lineage: Eukaryota; Metazoa; Chordata; Mammalia; Chiroptera; Phyllostomidae
Product: small nucleolar RNA SNORA48
Exons: 1
Source: RefSeq, a predicted model, not a curated record